RNAcentral lists this long non-coding RNA (383 nucleotides) under Cucumis sativus (cucumber). Its description in RNAcentral is "long non-coding RNA (CSAT_LNC000804)". The record is from RNAcentral. Lineage: Eukaryota; Viridiplantae; Streptophyta; Magnoliopsida; Cucurbitales; Cucurbitaceae.
AAUAUUUCACACUUUCACUCCUCUUUUUCUCUCUCAGUUUGAUUGUUUAAGGCAAAUGUGAAAUAAAAAACAAAUAAAAAUCUCCAUCUUCGGUUGUGCACCACACCAUCAUUCCAUAUGGCUCUGGCCACUGCUCGACCUCCCGCCAACUGCCACACAUAUUAUCACCACUUCUCUCUCUUUAUCAAUUAAUUGUUUGGGUAAAAUGUGGAAUAAAAAAACAAUUAAAAACUAAUUUUCAUUUUUUCCCCCUUUAAUUAGAGUCCAAAGUCUAUCAAAAACGUAAGAACGGGCAAAAUGUAUUUAGUAGGGAAAACUGUGAAAAUAGUAAUUUAAUAUGCAAAUGUAACUUCUCCUUAGAAAAAAACAUAAAAGAAAAAGAU